Molecule: ribosomal RNA, 433 nt
Filed under: uncultured bacterium
Lineage: Bacteria
Description: partial 16S ribosomal RNA
Rfam family: Bacterial small subunit ribosomal RNA
Source: RNAcentral
AACGAACGCUGGCGGCAUGCCUAACACAUGCAAGUCGAACGAGACCUUCGGGUCUAGUGGCGCACGGGUGCGUAACGCGUGGGAACCUGCCCUUAGGUUCGGAAUAACUCCCCGAAAGGGGUGCUAAUACCGGAUAAUGUCUUCGGACCAAAGAUUUAUCGCCUUUGGUUGGGCCCGCGUUGGAUUAGCUAGUUGGUAGGGUAAAAGCCUACCAAGGCGACGAUCCAUAGCUGGUCUGAGAGGAUGAUCAGCCACACUGGGACUGAGACACGGCCCAGACUCCUACGGGAGGCAGGAGUGGGGAAUAUUGGACAAUGGGAGAAAGCCUGAGCCAGCAAUGCCGCGUGAGUGAUGAAGGCCUGAGGGUUGUAAAGCUCUUUUACCCGGGAUGAUAAUGACAGUACCGGGAGAAUAAGCUCCGGCUAACUCCGUG